AGACGUUCAACCAAACAACUCAUCCGAGAGGCAUAACACUCGAGAAGCUUGCUUGCUUUACCUGUCGGGUUACCAAUCCUCCAUGGCGUUUCCCGCCAUGGCCGCCAUCGUGCUGCUCCUUCUCCUGUUGCCGUUCGCCGAUGCCGAAACACCAUGGCAGUUGUGCGGCAGCAGAGGCAAUUACACGGCGGGGAGCAACUACCAAUCCAACCUAAAUCAGCUGUCGGCAGCCCUCCCCAGGAAAGCCUCGUCCAACACGACCCUCUUCGCCACGGGCACUGCCGGCACGAUCCCGGACAUGGUCUACGCCCUCGCGCUCUGCCGCGGGGACAUCAACGCCUCCCCCUGCAACAGCUGCGUCGCCACAGGCUUCCAGGACGCGCAGCAGCUCUGCGCGUUCGCUAAGGACGCCACCGUGUACUACGAUUCCUGCCUCCUCCGCUUCUCCAACACAAACUUCUUCGCAACGACCACCGACAACGAUGUUUUGCUGAUCCUCAUGAACACCGAGAACUUCACGGAGAGCGCCGACUCCAUGAGGCUCAUGCUGUUCACGCUGCUGAACGCCACGUCCCAGGACGCGGCCAGCAGGUCGAAGAGGUUCACGACAGCGCGCCUGGACAUCAGCUCCCUGCCUACGAUGUACUGCCUGGUGCAGUGCACGCCCGACCUCACCGCCGGCGAGUGCGCGGCGUGUCUGCGGGGCUUCCCGCAGCUGACGUUUAGGUACCUCGACGGGAGCCAAGGAGGUCGAUUGAUCGGGGUGCGGUGUAACAUGAGGUACGAGAUCUACCCUUUCUACCAAGGGGACCCGAUGCUGCGUAUUAUCUCGCUGGCCCCUGCUGUACCGGCGAUCAAUGGCACACCGCCGGAAACGCCAGUCACAGUGUUUUCGCAGCCGCAGCCGCCACCAGCGAUAAUCCGAGCCGGUCCAGCACAAGAACAGAGAGGGCGCAAAAAUAAGCUGUGGAGUAUUGGUGUAGCAGUUCCUUUGCUGGCAAUUCUACUCUGCUGUAUUACGUUUCUAUGGGUGAGGAGACGCAAGAAAGGAAAUGUGAGCUUGCAGGACAAAGCUGGUAUGGAUAGGACUGAAGAAAACGCCUUGGUUUGGAGAAUUGAAGAGAAGAGUUCAGGGUUCACUCUUUUUGACCUUUCCCAGUUACAGCGGGCCACGGAAAACUUUUCUGAAGGAAACAGACUUGGACGGGGAGGUUUUGGCCCUGUGUAUAAGGGGCAAUUAUCGGAUGGGCAGGAAAUUGCAGUUAAAAGGCUUGCAUCGCAUUCAGGGCAGGGUUUUACAGAGUUCAGGAAUGAAGUCGAACUUAUAGCGAAACUGCAACAUACAAAUUUGGUUAGGCUCUUAGGAUGCUGCAUUGAAGGAGAGGAAAAAAUUUUGGUCUAUGAAUAUAUGCCAAAUAAAAGCCUGGACUUCUUUAUCUUUGAUGAAAACCAAAGCAGUUCACUUAAUUGGAGUAAACGACGUGUUAUAAUAGAAGGAAUAGCACAAGGUCUACUGUACUUGCACAAACACUCCCGGCUGCGCGUCAUACAUCGAGAUCUUAAAGCUAGCAACAUUCUCUUGGACCAGGAUAUGAACCCCAAAAUUUCGGAUUUUGGGCUUGCAAGAAUUUUUGGCUCCAAUGAUACCGAAGGAAACACAAAAAGGGUGGUCGGAACAUAUGGUUAUAUGUCUCCAGAGUAUGCCUAUAAAGGUAUCUAUUCCGUUAAAUCCGACGUAUUUAGCUUUGGUGUUCUACUUCUUGAGAUCCUUAGCGGAAAGCGGAAUUCCAGUUCUCACCAAUUUGGAGACUUCAUUAACCUUCUUGGAUAUACCUGGCACCUGUGGGAGGAAGGAAGAUGGCUUGAGCUUGUAGAAGCAUCAAUUUCUAAGGAGAUGCAUGAAGCACAGGCUAGGAGGUACAUUAACAUCGCGCUAAUGUGUGUCCAAGAGAAUGCAGACGAUCGGCCCACCAUGUCAGACGUUGUUGCCGCGCUAAAUAGUGAGAGUGUGGUUCUACCUGAGCCUAAGCAUCCGGCGUACUUCAACCUGAGUGUCCAAAGCAAUGGAAUCAGCUACUGUUGUUGAGAGUUGUAGUCUGAAUGAUGUAACUAUUACUCAAGACCCAGAAGGCAGAUAGUAGGUGUAGAAUGCGACGCCGCGAUCGACGGAUGCGGUGAAGGUCGAGCGAAAGGUUCAUACCGAUGGACCAAGAGUGGUGAAGGAUGGACACAAGUAGGCUUGGACCGAGGGACCCGAGGAGUCCAGGCAGAGUCAUCGACAAUUCACUUGGUGCACGGAAGAGUAAGAGUAUAUGGACAUGAUGAAUAAGUCGUCGGUCAAGUUAGGGAGGAAGGCGAUGGCCAGUUCGAGUAGGCUGCCCAUGCGCCGGGAGCGCGAAAGAUCUUGAAAGUGUUGUGACAGUUGGCGGGAGGCUGGACAGGCGUCGACAUCAGAGGUGGUAAGUUUACCAGUUUGGGCCUCAAAACCGAGCGGCAACAGGUUUACCGGUUUGAGCCUCAAAAUCGAAGGUGCGUCCGGAUGGCAGUUGCGGAGGGCACAUAUCGUCAUCGCAAAACUUGCGUCGAGGCGAAACGGAGUCGUGAAGACGGCGUGUCCGUCCGGUGGUAUAAGUAAAACUUGGACGGUUUUAGCCAUCGGGGAUAUUUGGGUUAAGUGCUUCAUGUAAGGAUGUUUUGGUCAUUUGCCGAGCCUAUAUACAUGUGGACGGGAUGAUGAGCAGUUUUGCCUCUUUUGCAUCUCUCAUUUUAGAGGUCCUCUCAUUUGAUUGUGAGAUAAUUAGGGAAGAGUGGCUCUUUGAUUUGAGUUUUUUGUCAUUAUAACUUUGAUUGUUGCUAGUAGUGGUUUGUAAGAGCACUCCCAAUGGUACAAUUAUAGCAGUUUCUAUGUGUAUUAAUUAGGUUGUUAUAUUAA
Panicum virgatum (switchgrass) is the source of this 2932-nucleotide RNA transcript. It is a transcript of the gene named cysteine-rich receptor-like protein kinase 10, with no coding region annotated. The transcript is spliced from 9 exons. NCBI's taxonomy places the organism in Eukaryota, Viridiplantae, Streptophyta, Magnoliopsida, Poales, Poaceae. The record is from RefSeq and is a predicted model, not a curated record.